CGAGUUAUCUGAACCUUCGGGGAACGAUAACGGCGUCGAGCGGCGGACGGGUGAGUAAUGCCUAGGAAAUUGCCCUGAUGUGGGGGAUAACCAUUGGAAACGAUGGCUAAUACCGCAUGAUGCCUACGGGCCAAAGAGGGGGACCUUCGGGCCUCUCGCGUCAGGAUAUGCCUAGGUGGGAUUAGCUAGUUGGUGAGGUAAGGGCUCACCAAGGCGACGAUCCCUAGCUGGUCUGAGAGGAUGAUCAGCCACACUGGAACUGAGACACGGUCCAGACUCCUACGGGAGGCAGCAGUGGGGAAUAUUGCACAAUGGGCGCAAGCCUGAUGCAGCCAUGCCGCGUGUGUGAAGAAGGCCUUCGGGUUGUAAAGCACUUUCAGUCGUGAGGAAGGUGGUGUAGUUAAUAGCUGCAUCAUUUGACGUUAGCGACAGAAGAAGCACCGGCUAACUCCGUGCCAGCAGCCGCGGUAAUACGGAGGGUGCGAGCGUUAAUCGGAAUUACUGGGCGUAAAGCGCAUGCAGGUGGUUUGUUAAGUCAGAUGUGAAAGCCCGGGGCUCAACCUCGGAAUAGCAUUUGAAACUGGCAGACUAGAGUACUGUAGAGGGGGGUAGAAUUUCAGGUGUAGCGGUGAAAUGCGUAGAGAUCUGAAGGAAUACCGGUGGCGAAGGGCGGCCCCCUGGACAGAUACUGACACUCAGAUGCGAAAGCGUGGGGAGCAACAGGAUUAGAUACCCUGGUAGUCCACGCCGUAAACGAUGUCUACUUGG
RNAcentral lists this ribosomal RNA (768 nucleotides) under Vibrio alginolyticus. RNAcentral's name for it is "bacterial SSU rRNA". It matches the Rfam family "Bacterial small subunit ribosomal RNA", at positions 63 to 820 of the family's 1533-position model. The record is from RNAcentral. Lineage: Bacteria; Pseudomonadati; Pseudomonadota; Gammaproteobacteria; Vibrionales; Vibrionaceae.